Harpia harpyja (harpy eagle) is the source of this 1249-nucleotide long non-coding RNA. RefSeq lists it as uncharacterized. The transcript has 2 exons. The record is from RefSeq and is a predicted model, not a curated record. NCBI's taxonomy places the organism in Eukaryota, Metazoa, Chordata, Aves, Accipitriformes, Accipitridae.
AUUUCUUCUCGCUCUCGUAGUACUCCAGCCGGGCGCCCCCCGCCUCCUCCCCACCGCCCGGACCCCGCAGCACGAAGAAGCGCUUGUGGCCGUGCUUCUGCUUGCGCAGGGAGAGCGCGGCUGCCCGGAGCCGCAGCGGGGUCCUCCGCCGUCGCCUCUAGGCAGCGGGCGCUGCCGGCGGCCGCCCGGCGUCCUCCCCGGCUCGGGUACCGGCGGCUGCGCCGCUGCCGCUCCCCGGCCGCUGCUGCUGCUGCUGGUGGUGCUGCUGCCGCUGCUGGUGCCGCCGCGGCUGCUGCCGGCGCCGGCGGGAGUUUCGCCGUAAGUAACACAUCGCGCACCGAGUGCCCCAACUAAAGAGCAAAACAACACGUGACCGCCGCCUUACCGAGACGCUCACACACCGAGACGGGGCGGGGCGCGGCCGCCGCCGGCGCCGCCCCGCAUUGGCCACUGCGCCGCGCGAAGGACGGCUCCGCCCGCCAAUGGGACGGCGGGGCGGGCCCUGGGGUGCGAGGCGGCGCGGCGCCGUUGGGCGGCGGGAGCCUCACCCCCCCCCCCUCCCGCCCCUCCGCGGCGGGCGCGUUCCCGCCCACAGCCUCCUGCCCCCCUCAGGCGCGGCGGGACCCGCCUGCCGCCCCCCCCCCCUCCGCCUCAGCGCACACAGCGCGGAGUGCGCCGGGGCCGCGGGCACGGCGGGGAAAGCCGGUGCGGCCAUCGAGCCCCCGCUGCUGUCCCUCGCCAUCCAUCGUAGCCCCGGCGGGCGGCACGCCGGGGGCGGGGAGGGGGGGGCGCACCGGCGUAGCUCGCCGCCGCCGCCGCCAUCAGGUGCUGCCGACCCGCCCGCCGCGGGCCCCUCGCCCCCGGAGCGGAGCGGAGCUUCCGGGCGCGCGUCUGCGCGCGCCCCCCCCCCCCCGCACUCCCCCACACACGCGUGUGUGCGUCAGCCCUCCUCGCACAUGCACGCACGGCGGCUCCCAGCCGCCCCCCCCCCCCCGCCGUUCCCGCGCUCCUCCACCCGGUGUGUCAGCCCGUGGCCGCCCCCACCUCACCCGCCUCCAUUCCGCUCCCCCCCCCCCCGAAGGACUCGGGGAGUCGCCGCUCCCCACCGGGCCCGGCUGCUCCCGCCCCCCCCCCCUCCGGCAGCGGCUAUUUACGCGCGGCGAGGAGAUGCCACCUAGGGAGGACCGCACUGUUACUGGGUUUUAAUUAAAUAAAUUAAUUUAUCCGGGCGUUCUGCGUUAGCGGUGAA